This 439-nucleotide ribosomal RNA is filed under the name uncultured bacterium. Its description in RNAcentral is "partial 16S ribosomal RNA". It matches the Rfam family "Bacterial small subunit ribosomal RNA", at positions 339 to 795 of the family's 1533-position model. The record is from RNAcentral.
CUACGGGGCGCAGCAGUGAGGAAUAUUGCACAAUGGGGGGAACCCUGAUGCAGCAACGCCGCGUGGAGGAUGACGCAUUUCGGUGUGUAAACUCCUUUUAUAUGUCAAGAAAAUGACGGUAGCAUAUGAAUAAGCACCGGCUAACUCCGUGCCAGCAGCCGCGGUAAUACGGAGGGUGCAAGCGUUACUCGGAAUCACUGGGCGUAAAGGACGCGUAGGCGGGUUGGAAAGUCAGGUGUGAAAUCCUACAGCUUAACUGUAGAACUGCACUUGAAACUUCUAAUCUAUAGUACGGGAGGGGGAGAUGGAAUUAGUGGUGUAGGGGUAAAAUCCGUAGAUAUCACUAGGAAUACCUAAAGCGAAGGCGAUCUCCUGGAACAUUACUGACGCUAAGGCGUGAAAGCGUGGGGAGCAAACAGGAUUAGAUACCCGGGUAGUC